Coffea eugenioides is the source of this 864-nucleotide long non-coding RNA. RefSeq lists it as uncharacterized. The record is from RefSeq and is a predicted model, not a curated record. NCBI's taxonomy places the organism in Eukaryota, Viridiplantae, Streptophyta, Magnoliopsida, Gentianales, Rubiaceae. The transcript has 6 exons.
CCCUAAUCUGUUAACACUUUUGUACUCUUCUGCCGUCUCUUCCUCAUCGUCUCUCCCCUUCCUUCCUCCGCCUCCACCGCCUGACUCACUGUCUCACCUUCCUUCAUCCGCCUCCGACUCACUGUGAUUUCCUCCUCAGCUUCCUACUUCCUCAGUUUCACCUUCAUCUUCACGCCAUUCAAGCCCGACAGAGACAGACAUCAUCAGCCUUCAUCUUCAACUAUUGUAGUGUAGUGUGGCGUCUCAUUCCUCACCUGGGUGGUUGACGCUUUGAACCCAUUGGAUUGGCGUUUAGCAAUCCUUUUGUUUCCUUUUGUACGGGUCUUUGACCACCGGGUAAACUAGCAAGGGAGAGGUCUCCCUCAAUUCCUCAAUUCUUGGCUUUUGCAACAAAGCUGUUGGCUGAAGAGUGGCAGAGCUGGUCAAUCCACAUCAAUCAACUCAAUCCAUCAAUCCGUUGUACCAGAAGCUUCUUUCUCAUGGAUGAGAGGUCAGACUAUCAACUAAACCAUGAAGAAAUGUGGAAAUUGCUCUCUAAAGGAAGGAAUAUGAAGAUUUGAAGUUGACAUCUCGAAGAAGUAGUUAAAGCUGGAAAUGACCAUACUUUGGGUUUUGUUACUAGUGGAUCUGCUCUAUUGCAUGGUGCUACUCAGACAAGUGCCUCACCCUGGUCUUCAGCAUCAAUGAUAUUUCCUCCAACCCUAGGCAUGCCUUUAAAUGCUGAAUGGAAUGGGUUCUUCAGCAGUUUCUUUCGAAAUUGCUCAUUACACUUCUGGGGUGAGUACGAACUACAGAAAGUUUUUGUUUUUGGUUAAGUUAAAAUAUGUAUUUAUCGGAAUCAUGGAAGUUCAAGUUCAUGUUUCG